RNAcentral lists this ribosomal RNA (254 nucleotides) under uncultured bacterium. Its description in RNAcentral is "partial 16S ribosomal RNA". It matches the Rfam family "Bacterial small subunit ribosomal RNA", at positions 524 to 776 of the family's 1533-position model. The record is from RNAcentral.
UACGAAGGGUGCAAGCGUUACUCGGAAUUACUGGGCGUAAAGGGUGCGUAGGUGGUUUGUUAAGUCUGCUGUGAAAUCCCCGGGCUCAACCUGGGAAUGGCAGUGGAUACUGGCAAGCUAGAGUGCGGUAGAGGGUAGUGGAAUUCCCGGUGUAGCAGUGAAAUGCGUAGAGAUGUGGAGGAACACCGAUGGCGAAGGCAGCCCCCCUGGGCCAAAACUGACGCUCAGGCACGAAAGCGUGGGGAGCAAACAGG